RNAcentral lists this ribosomal RNA (530 nucleotides) under uncultured bacterium. Its description in RNAcentral is "bacterial SSU rRNA". It matches the Rfam family "Bacterial small subunit ribosomal RNA", at positions 777 to 1304 of the family's 1533-position model. The record is from RNAcentral.
AAUAGAUACCCCGGUAGUCCAUGCCGUAAACGUUGGGCACUAGGUGUGGGGCUCAUUCCACGAGUUCCGUGCCGCAGCAAACGCAUUAAGUGCCCCGCCUGGGGAGUACGGCCGCAAGGCUAAAACUCAAAGGAAUUGACGGGGGCCCGCACAAGCGGCGGAGCAUGCGGAUUAAUUCGAUGCAACGCGAAGAACCUUACCAAGGCUUGACAUGCACGGGAAGCCACCAGAGAUGGUGGUCUCUUUGGACACUCGUGCACAGGUGGUGCAUGGUUGUCGUCAGCUCGUGUCGUGAGAUGUUGGGUUAAGUCCCGCAACGAGCGCAACCCUCGUCCCAUGUUGCCAGCGGGUUAUGCCGGGGGACUCAUGGGAGACUGCCGGGGUCAACUCGGAGGAAGGUGGGGAUGACGUCAAAUCAUCAUGCCCCUUAUGUCUUGGGCUUCACGCAUGCUACAAUGGCCGGUACAAAGGGCUGCGAUACCGUAAGGUGGAGCGAAUCCCAAAAAGCCGGUCUCAGUUCGGAUUGGGGU